AGAGUUUGAUCAUGGCUCAGAAUCAACGCUGGCGGCGUGCCUAACACAUGCAAGUCGAACGAGAAAGUCCGCAAGGAUGAGUAAAGUGGCGACCGGGUGAGUAACACGUGACUACCUGCCUUGAGUGGGGGAUAACUCCGGGAAACCGGGGCUAAUACCGCAUAACAUCGCAAGAUCAAAGGAGCAAUCCGCUUUUGGAG
This 200-nucleotide ribosomal RNA is filed under the name uncultured bacterium. Its description in RNAcentral is "partial 16S ribosomal RNA". It matches the Rfam family "Bacterial small subunit ribosomal RNA", at positions 8 to 226 of the family's 1533-position model. The record is from RNAcentral.